This 497-nucleotide ribosomal RNA is filed under the name uncultured bacterium. RNAcentral describes it as "partial 16S ribosomal RNA". It matches the Rfam family "Bacterial small subunit ribosomal RNA", at positions 28 to 507 of the family's 1533-position model. The record is from RNAcentral.
GAUGAACGCUGGCGGCGUGCCUAAUACAUGCAAGUCGAGCGAACAGACGAGGAGCUUGCUCCUCUUACGUUAGCGGCGGACGGGUGAGUAACACGUGGAUAACCUACCUAUAAGACUGGGAUAACUUCGGGAAACCGGAGCUAAUACCGGAUAACAUGUUGAACCGCAUGGUUCAACAGUGAAAGACGGUCUUGCUGUCACUUAUAGAUGGAUCCGCGCCGCAUUAGCUAGUUGGUAAGGUAACGGCUUACCAAGGCAACGAUGCGUAGCCGACCUGAGAGGGUGAUCGGCCACACUGGAACUGAGACACGGUCCAGACUCCUACGGGAGGCAGCAGUAGGGAAUCUUGCGCAAUGGGCGAAAGCCUGACGGAGCAACGCCGCGUGAGUGAAGAAGGUCUUCGGAUCGUAAAACUCUGUUAUUAGGGAAGAACAAAUGUGUAAGUAACUAUGCACGUCUUGACGGUACCUAAUCAGAAAGCCACGGCUAACUACGUG